CAUUAUCAAUCACUACAGGGGCUUGGGUUGCUGCUGUGGCGUGGGUUUGAUCCUUGGCCUGGGAAUGUCCACAUGCUGCAGGUGCAGCCAAAAAAAAAAAAAUUAAAAUUUUCCUUUUCACCUGUACCAGGCAGCUCAACUUUUGCUUUGCCCAGGACAGUCCUGGUUUAUACUCCUUAUCAUAUUGUAUUUAUUAACUAUACCCUGUUUUACUACUAAGAGUAUCUUAGGUUGGAUGAUAAAUAAUAUGAUUGCCCUGAUGGAGCUGAAGUUCAUAUUCCAUAAAAUGUGCCCCUCCCCUGUGCCAUGGAUUGUGGGUGGGAGCUUGUACAAGGUCAUGGCAGUAUUGGCUAUACUUUUGCCAAAAGUAAUGACUAGUGCAAACCUAUUACUAUAGCUAUCCCACUUGAGCAGGUAUUCUCCUAAGGUAACUCUUGACCCGUGGUUUGUGCAUGACAGUGAUGGCCGUGAAAGCUACAGGGAGAGUGGGUCCUCCCUGAGAUGGCACCUGGUAGGCUCAGUGGAUGGGUGUCUGGGUUGGGUGGUUCUGCUGGGCUGUGGGAGCUGGGGCGACCAUGACAGUCAUGGGGAAGUCUCUUGUCGUGGUCCAGUCCGGGGGAGUAUAGGGGUCCCCUGAAGAUGUGAGUGAGUCGAGCCAGUGAAGGUGCUUAGCUCCAGCAGAGAGGGUCAGCUGAACAGGAAGCCGAGGCCAGGGGGCCAUGAGGCCCCAGCGAAGUCCUGGGUCAGGUGGAGAGGCCUGCAGGCACGCAGGUGACCCAGACCUUCACCGUCUUCGCUCGCUUAGACCAUGAGCUGACUGCAGUGCCUUUGCAGUGGGCCAGGAGGAAGAGCGGGCCGUGGACUCCGAGAGCCUGGGUGACUUCCCUGUUGCCCUUGGGCUCUGCAGAGGCUGAGGAAGCCGGAUCCACACCCCUGAUGGAAGGACCCGGUCUGUGGGCGAUUUGAACUCUGUGGUGACUGUCCUGGCUGAUGACCAGCCGUGCGAUCUUGAUCUUGGUCCAAUUCAACCCCUAGCCUGGGAACCUCCAUAUGCCAUGGGAGCAGUGCAAGAAAUAGCAAAAAAAUAAAAUAAAAGAGCAACCUGGAGCCAGCUGGAAGAGGCAUUGGCGAGAAUAAGAGGGUUGUAAUGCUGCAUCAGUGUCUUAAGAUCCUCAGCUCUCUCAGUGGAACGGAAGGAAGUGCAUCAAAUGCUACUCCGUGAACACAGGGCCUUUCAUUCUAACUUUCCGUGUUUUCAAGGACUUACUCCUCUGGGGAACUGAAGGCACAGCUUGCGUCUGAUAGGUGGACCACAAGAGUCAUUGACUCCAAGGGACCAGGGACCAAAGGAAGCAAUCACGGAGGAUGCUGUUCAGGACUUCACACCUGAGCCAAGCUGACAGAACCACACUGAGGCUGGGCCAGAUGGAGGGGGGCCUAGCUGGUCUGUGCUGAAGGAGUCUUCAGGAGAAGAAAGUGUCUAAAAAUUACAACUGUGCUGUGUGGAGACUUUGGGAAAAAAAAGUUUGCAAGUUUUGGGGCGGUUCCAAAUGAAGUGGGAACCUUGUUCCGAAUAAAUUGUUUUUUGUUUUAUUUUGUUUUCUUUUUUCAUCCUGAGGCACGUGGAAGUUCCUGGGCCAGAGAUCGAACCCUUACCGCAGCAGUGAUAAGGUCUGGUCCUUAACCUGCUGUGCCGCAGAGGAACCCCAUGAAUGAGUUUUUUUAUGAAUUAGGAGAGAUAAUUGACUUAAAUAUAUGCAUCUUCCUGAUUUCUUGUGGCAAAAAUAUCUUUUUUUCUUAUCCUUUUUGGGGAAUAAAAUAAAUGGAGUCU
This 1831-nucleotide long non-coding RNA is filed under the name Sus scrofa (pig). RNAcentral describes it as "lncRNA (ENSSSCG00035019073.1)". The record is from RNAcentral. Lineage: Eukaryota; Metazoa; Chordata; Mammalia; Artiodactyla; Suidae.